RNAcentral lists this ribosomal RNA (510 nucleotides) under uncultured bacterium. RNAcentral describes it as "partial 16S ribosomal RNA". It matches the Rfam family "Bacterial small subunit ribosomal RNA", at positions 28 to 507 of the family's 1533-position model. The record is from RNAcentral.
GACGAACGCUGGCGGCGUGCUUAACACAUGCAAGUCGAACGAAAAGCGCUGGUAGCUUGCUUCUCUCAUUCUUAGUGGCGGACGGGUGAGUAAUGCGUAAUCAACCUGCCCCUCAGAGGGGGACUACAGUCGGAAACGACUGCUAAUGCCGCAUACGAUCGGACCUCGGUAUGGCGGAGAUAGGUUAGGUGGUUGCUAUUGAUAAGCCAUCACUGAAGGAGGGGAUUUCGUCUGAUUAGCAAGUUGGGGGGGUAACGUGCAACCAAGGCGAGGAACAGUAGACGGUCUGAGAGGCUGAACGGCAAAGUUGGGACGGGGACAUGGCCCAGAACACUGCGAGAGGGAGCAGUGGGGGAUCUUCAGGAAUGGAAGAAAGUCUGAAGAAGCGACGCCGCGUGAGUGAUGAAGGCAUUCGGGUUGUGAAGGUGUGUUAGUCGGGAGGAAAGGACUUCUUGCGAAUAGUUAGAAGGAUUGACGGUACCGGAAGAAAAAGCCACGGCUAACUACGUG